This 73-nucleotide transfer RNA is filed under the name Trichonephila inaurata madagascariensis. It matches the Rfam family "tRNA". Rfam says of the family: Transfer RNA (tRNA) molecules are approximately 80 nucleotides in length. Their secondary structure includes four short double-helical elements and three loops (D, anti-codon, and T loops). The record is from Rfam by way of RNAcentral. Lineage: Eukaryota; Metazoa; Arthropoda; Arachnida; Araneae; Nephilidae.
GUCUCUGUAGCGCAAUGGAUAGCGCAUUGGAUUUCUUAUCCAAAGAUCGUGAGUUCGAAUUCUACCUGGGAUG